Molecule: long non-coding RNA, 674 nt
Organism: Chenopodium quinoa (quinoa)
Lineage: Eukaryota; Viridiplantae; Streptophyta; Magnoliopsida; Caryophyllales; Amaranthaceae
Exons: 3
Source: RefSeq, a predicted model, not a curated record
CAUGUGUAAAAAAUCAAACCUUAGAUUUCGAAUUCAUUUCUAAUUUAAAGGGUAAGUAUUAAGUAUUGAGAUUAGAUAAUUUUUUUUUUUUCUUCUAAAAAUGAAUAUUUCUAAAACAAUAAUAAUCAGACAAAUACCCUCACUUUCAAUCUCACACUAAAGUAAAACCCUAAAUUCCUCCUCUUCUCUCUACGUUCACUAGAGGUCGCCACCCCACCUUGGCACCUUUCAUAGCCACCGAGAUUUGCGCCCAGCCGCCCUGAUCUCCUUCACGAGAGUUAUGCCCAGAUCUCUUCUCCUUCUAGCAUUUGCUCGACAAAUCUCCGUCCUCUAAAGACAAUUAAUCUCCAGCUUACGUUUUUGGAUCGUCUUUUAUGGCGGAAGGCGGACAGAGGAUCUAUUGCUCCUGGAACUCAUCUUGGGUAAAAAGUGUAAAUGAAGAAGAUUACUUGUUAAAUAGUUCGGCUGGCGAGAUUGUUGCACAAGAUCACCAAGUACAAGGCCUUUUUUUAUCGAAUUUGGAUUAUAGCAUUAUUGUGUAUUUUUUAGUAUGGGGUUUGUAUAAUUUUUUGCAAGAAUAUUGAUUGUAUUAUUAAUGAGUAUGUUGUAUGAGUAUUGAAAUGUAUAAAAUUUUGCAAAUAUGAAUUACAUCUAUGUAUUUUUGCUGUAAAUGA